Molecule: ribosomal RNA, 256 nt
Filed under: uncultured bacterium
Lineage: Bacteria
Description: partial 16S ribosomal RNA
Rfam family: Bacterial small subunit ribosomal RNA
Source: RNAcentral
UAAGACGUAGGAGGCGAGCGUUAUCCGGAUUCAUUGGGCGUAAAGGGCAAGUAGGCGGUGCCCAAAGUUGGGCGUGACAUCUCCCGGCUCAACUGGGAGGGUGCGUUCAAAACUAGGGGACUAGAGGGCAGGAGAGGGAAGUGGAAUUCCCAGUGUAGCGGUGGAAUGCUCAGAUAUUGGGAAGAACACCAGUGGCGAAGGCGGCUUCCUGGCCUGCACCUGACGCUGAGAGGCGAAAGCUAGGGUAGCAAACGGG